UAUUUUAAAGAGAGUUUGAUCCUGGCUCAGGACGAACGCUGGCGGCGUGCCUAAUACAUGCAAGUCGAACGAACGGAGGAAGAGCUUGCUCUUCCAAAGUUAGUGGCGGACGGGUGAGUAACACGUGGGCAACCUGCCUGUAAGUUGGGGAUAACUCCGGGAAACCGGGGCUAAUACCGAAUGAUAGAAUGUGGCGCAUGCCACGCUUUUGAAAGAUGGUUUCGGCUAUCGCUUACAGAUGGGCCCGCGGUGCAUUAGCUAGUUGGUAGGGUAAUGGCCUACCAAGGCAACGAUGCAUAGCCGACCUGAGAGGG
RNAcentral lists this ribosomal RNA (314 nucleotides) under Listeria monocytogenes. Its description in RNAcentral is "bacterial SSU rRNA". It matches the Rfam family "Bacterial small subunit ribosomal RNA", at positions 1 to 300 of the family's 1533-position model. The record is from RNAcentral. Lineage: Bacteria; Bacillati; Bacillota; Bacilli; Caryophanales; Listeriaceae.